GACGAACGCUGGCGGCGUGCCUAAUACAUGCAAGUAGAACGCUGAAGGAGGAGCUUGCUUCUCCGGAUGAGUUGCGAACGGGUGAGUAACGCGUAGGUAACCUGCCUGGUAGCGGGGGAUAACUAUUGGAAACGAUAGCUAAUACCGCAUAACAGUAGAUAUCGCAUGAUAGCUGCUUGAAAGGUGCAAUUGCACCACUACCAGAUGGACCUGCGUUGUAUUAGCUAGUUGGUGAGGUAACGGCUCACCAAGGCAACGAUACAUAGCCGACCUGAGAGGGUGAUCGGCCACACUGGGACUGAGACACGGCCCAGACUCCUACGGGAGGCAGCAGUAGGGAAUCUUCGGCAAUGGACGGAAGUCUGACCGAGCAACGCCGCGUGAGUGAAGAAGGUUUUCGGAUCGUAAAGCUCUGUUGUAAGAGAAGAACGAGUGUGAGAGUGGAAAGUUCACACUGUGACGGUAUCUUACCAGAAAGGGACGGCUAACUACGUGCCAGCAGCCGCGGUAAUACGUAGGUCCCAAGCGUUGUCCGGAUUUAUUGGGCGUAAAGCGAGCGCAGGCGGUUAGAUAAGUCUGAAGUUAAAGGCUGUGGCUUAACCAUAGUACGCUUUGGAAACUGUUUAACUUGAGUGCAAGAGGGGAGAGUGGAAUUCCAUGUGUAGCGGUGAAAUGCGUAGAUAUAUGGAGGAACACCGGUGGCGAAAGCGGCUCUCUGGCUUGUAACUGACGCUGAGGCUCGAAAGCGUGGGGAGCAAACAGG
RNAcentral lists this ribosomal RNA (763 nucleotides) under uncultured Streptococcus sp. RNAcentral's name for it is "bacterial SSU rRNA". It matches the Rfam family "Bacterial small subunit ribosomal RNA", at positions 28 to 776 of the family's 1533-position model. Lineage: Bacteria; Bacillati; Bacillota; Bacilli; Lactobacillales; Streptococcaceae. The record is from RNAcentral.